RNAcentral lists this ribosomal RNA (254 nucleotides) under uncultured bacterium. Its description in RNAcentral is "partial 16S ribosomal RNA". It matches the Rfam family "Bacterial small subunit ribosomal RNA", at positions 524 to 776 of the family's 1533-position model. The record is from RNAcentral.
UACGUAGGGUGCAAGCGUUGUCCGGAAUUAUUGGGCGUAAAGAGCUCGUAGGCGGUUUGUCGCGUCUGCUGUGAAAACGCGAGGCUCAACCUCGCGCCUGCAGUGGGUACGGGCAGACUGGAGUGCGGUAGGGGAGAUUGGAAUUCCUGGUGUAGCGGUGGAAUGCGCAGAUAUCAGGAGGAACACCGAUGGCGAAGGCAGAUCUCUGGGCCGUAACUGACGCUGAGGAGCGAAAGGCGUGGGGAGCGAACAGG